RNAcentral lists this ribosomal RNA (293 nucleotides) under uncultured bacterium. RNAcentral describes it as "partial 16S ribosomal RNA". It matches the Rfam family "Archaeal small subunit ribosomal RNA", at positions 455 to 747 of the family's 1478-position model. The record is from RNAcentral.
GUGCCAGCCGCCGCGGUAAUACCGGCAGCUCGAGUGAUGGCCGAUUUUAUUGGGCCUAAAGCGUCCGUAGCCGGCCACGCAAGUCCAUCGGGAAAUCCGCCAGCCCAACUGGCGGGCGUCCGGUGGAACCUGUGUGGCUUGGGACCGGAAGACCCGACAGGUACGUCUUGGGUAGGAGUGAAAUCCCGUAAUCCUGGACGGACCGCCGAUGGCGAAAGCAUGUCGGGAAGACGGAUCCGACGGUGAGGGACGAAAGCCAGGGUCUCGAACCGGAUUAGAUACCCCUGUAGUCC